GCAUACCUACCAUAAAACUUUGCUGGAGCAGGUUCAGGAGCUGGAAACUAAAUCCAAAGAACUGGGAAAAGCUAUGCUUCGUGAUAGUAAUGGAAAGAGCCUGAACGAACGUGAUCAUUUGUUAAAAAGGCUCGGCAGAAAAACUCCUCCGAGCCUUUUCCGAGCUCAUUCUGUCCAGCAAGGUGUACCACAUGGGUAUGCAUUUUCUCAAGAAGAACAUGGAGUUGUUUCUCAGUCUCAAGUUGUUCGAUCCUACGACACUACCAAACAGAGAGCUGGAGUAGAAUAACACAGUUCUUUCCUGGAUUGGUGGUGGGAGUAAUGAGAUUUGGAUCAAUGCAGCCACUGUUAACACAUCCUUGACUAAGGUUGGCAGCAGCAGCCAAAACACCGGAACACUCAUUUCUGUGGCCUUAGCCAACACAUUUGUUAUGUAUUCCCCCUGCAGACCUUGAGCACACAUUGUGGGGAAAUCAUUGUUUUAAAUCUAGCGCAGUGCUCCGCCUAACUUUUGUUUAUGUUGUUAUGAAGCAUUUGACUGUGCUAUGUGAGGUGUGAAAUUAAAAACAUUAUGUUUUACCACUAUUUAAAACAGCAGUAUAAAUUGUUCUGGGAGAAAAGUAAAGAAUUUAUG
Molecule: long non-coding RNA, 634 nt
Organism: Terrapene triunguis (Three-toed box turtle)
Lineage: Eukaryota; Metazoa; Chordata; Testudines; Emydidae
Exons: 3
Source: RefSeq, a predicted model, not a curated record